UACGGAGGGGGCUAGCGUUGUUCGGAAUUACUGGGCGUAAAGCGCACGUAGGCGGACUGUUAAGUCGGGGGUGAAAUCCCGGGGCUCAACCCCGGAACUGCCUUCGAUACUGGCAGUCUAGAGGAAGGUAGAGGCUAGUGGAAUGGCGAGUGUAGAGGUGAAAUUCGUAGAUAUUCGCCGGAACACCAGUGGCGAAGGCGACUGGCUGGACCUUUGCUGACGAUGAGGUGCGAAAGCGUGGGGAGCAAACAGG
This 253-nucleotide ribosomal RNA is filed under the name uncultured bacterium. RNAcentral's name for it is "partial 16S ribosomal RNA". It matches the Rfam family "Bacterial small subunit ribosomal RNA", at positions 524 to 776 of the family's 1533-position model. The record is from RNAcentral.